AGAUCGUGGAGAUGGCGCACAAGAGGGAGAGUACACAGCCACUUGCCUUUUCUGUCCCUAGAUAUGGGAUGGUUCAGAGCUUCAGGGGACAAGUGCGCCCUUUAUUGGAAAUAAACCAAGGAGGCAUCUUAUCUCCUGAUGACCCUUGUUUGUACCUGGAGCCCUGCUGUUGCCCUUCGCUUGCUUCUUCUCCACAGACUGCAGCUAUCACUGCAGUCUCCGGUCCUUUACGGUAAAAUGUUCCUCAAAGAAUUGGCAUGUGCUCACUUCGGCGGCAUACACACUGAAGUUGGAGUGCUACGAUGGCAUAAGAAUCAGUAAGACGCAUCAGAUUUUUCAUCCUCACCAUCCAGUGUUAGAGUCAAAGCCACUCCUGCCAUUAUCCCUUCCCUAGCAUGAUAAUACAAUCAAACCAAAGAACAAGUUCCCAGUUCUCCAGGCAGGCUCUUAACUCACACCACAAAGCUGCUCUUACCAAAGUUUCCAGGGACCUCUGUGCGGCUGAACCCUCUCAAAUUGCGUUUUAUCGGCUUCUUGGGAACACCUAACGGUUGACACUCUCUGCUGGGACUCUCGAGGCUCCCCAUCACCUCCAUUGCUCUGCUCUUCCUUUGGCUCUGCAGGCUACCCUCACCCCUGUCUCCUUUGUCUCAAUCUCCCACCUCCCUGGCCUAAAAGUAGGGGCUGGGCUGUCCUUGGAUCUCUCUUUUCUCAAUACUCUUUUUUUUUUUUUUUUUUUUUUUUUUUUUUUUUUUUUUGGUUUUUGGAGACAGGGUUUCUCUGUGUAGCCCUGGCUGUCCUGGAACUCACUCUGUAGACCAGCUGGCCUCGAACUCAGAAACCCUAAUCCUAACCCUAACCCUAACCCUGCUUCCCAAUGCUGGGAUUAAAGGUGUGCACCACCAUUGCCCAGCUCUCUCAAUACUUUUAAUAUAUUGGCUGAUGAAUGGACUUGGAUUUUUUAAGACAGGGUCUCUCUUUGUAGCUCUAACAGCCCUGUAACUCUCUACAUAAACUAGGCUGGACUUGAACUCACAGAGAUCUUCCGUCUCUGUCUUUUGAGUGCUGAGAUCAUUCUGGAGACAAGGUCUUGCUAUGUUGCCAGACUGGCUUUGAAACUUUAGUCCUGAAUCAGGUUCCAGAGUGUUGGGAUUACAAGUGAUCAAGCAUCCAUGUGCCAGCUCAUUCUUGCUGACCUUAAAUACCAUUUGAAAGUUCCCCAAAGUUAUAUCUCAAAUCUAGACCUCUCCAGAAUUCCAGAUUUACUGUAUCUUCUGCCUACAUCCCAUCUUUACUGGGAUACAUUGCAAGCACUUCAAAUGUAACAUAUUGACUGGGGGUGUAGCUCAGUAAUAGAGCACUUGCCUGUUACAGGCAAGACCUCAGGUUCCACCCACAGCCCCUCCCCAAAAGCCAAAACAUCCAAAGCUCUUUGUUCCCUUCUUACUUUCCUCUUCCCACUCCUCCUCCUCCUCCUCCUCCUUCCUCCUCCUUCCUCUUCCUCCUCCUCCUCCCUCCUCCUUCCUCCUCCUUUUUCUACUACUAUGGGAUAUCUGAUCUUCGGGUCACUCAAGCCCAAAUCUUUGGAGUUAUCCUUGGCUCCUACCUCUUAAAUCCCAGUCAGUUGUCUCCUCAAAAUAAAAUCUGGCUACUUCUCA
RNAcentral lists this long non-coding RNA (1658 nucleotides) under Mus spicilegus (steppe mouse). Its description in RNAcentral is "lncRNA (ENSMSIG00000006162.1)". Lineage: Eukaryota; Metazoa; Chordata; Mammalia; Rodentia; Muridae. The record is from RNAcentral.